RNAcentral lists this long non-coding RNA (1559 nucleotides) under Phasianus colchicus (ring-necked pheasant). RNAcentral's name for it is "lncRNA (ENSPCLG00000013631.1)". Lineage: Eukaryota; Metazoa; Chordata; Aves; Galliformes; Phasianidae. The record is from RNAcentral.
GGGGACCCCCACCCCAUUGAUUUGGGGUCUCCCACCCCAUUGAUUUGAGGACCCCCACCCCAUUUGGGAACCCCCACCCCAUUGAUUUGGGGGACUCCCACCCCAUUGAUUUGGAGACCCCCACCCCAUUGAUUUGGGGUCUCCCACCCCACUGAUUUGGGGGCCCCCACCCCAUUGAUCUGGGGAUACCCACCCCAUUGAUUUGGGGUCUCCCACCCCAUUAUUUGGGGACCCCCGCCCCACUGAUUUGGGGACCACCACCCCAUUGAUUUGGGGACCCCCGCCCCAUUUGGGAACCCCCACCCCAUUGAUUUGGUGACCCUCACCCCAUUGAUUUGGGGUCUUCCACCCCAUUGAUUUGGGGUCUCUCACCCCAUUGAUUUGGGGACCACCACCCCAUUUGGGAACUUCCCACCCCAUUGAUUUGAGGACCCCCACCCCAUUGAUUUGGGGAUCCCCCCCCAUUGAUUUGGGGUCUCCCACCCCACUGAUUUGGGGGACCCCCACCCCAUUGAUUUGGGACCCCCACCCCGUAUUCUGGGGUUCCCAACCCAAUUUCCCCCCACCCCACAUUUUGGGACCCCCACUCCAAAUUCCCUCCACCCCACAUUUUGGGACUCCCCCCCAUAUUUUUCAACCCCCACCCCACAUUUUGGGACCCCCACCCUAUAUUUUGGGACCCCCACCCCAUAUUCUGGGACCCCCACCCCACAUUUUGGGAUCCCCACCCCCUAAUUCCUCCCCUCCCCCCCCCAUUCCAGGUUCUCUUUGCAUCUCGGCCUUCUCCCCCCUCUCCCUCUCCUCCGAAUUGGAGCUCAACGCCACCGAGCUGUGCCGCAAACAGGCGGCGCCCGAUUUCAGCCCUUAUUACUACGCCUACCGGGUGAACAACAGCUUCCUCUGCAUCACCGACUGCAGCCCCGGCUUCCCCAGCGCCAUCGACUGCCACAGCGGGCUCUGCAGGGUGACAACCCAGGGGCCGCGCUGUUUGUGAGUGCCUCCACGCAGCCCAAAGCCCCUCGCUGGGGACACAAAUCCCAACCCCACCACCAAAAAUCCCGAUAGUUGGGCCCAAAUCCCACCCCUCUGAAAGCGAAAUCCCGAUAGGUGAACCUAAAUCCCACCCCUCCACCAAAAAUCCCGAUAGUUGGGCCCAAAUCUCAAACCUCUGAAACCCAAAUCCCGAUAGGUGAACCUAAAUCCCACCCCUCCACCAAAAAUCCUGAUAGUUGGACCCAAAUCUCAAACCUCCGAAACCCAAAUCCCGAUAGGUGAACCCAAAUCCCAACCCUCCACCAAAAAUCCCGAUAGUUGGGUCCAAAUCCCACCCCUCUGAAAGCGAAAUCCCGAUAGGUGAACCCAAAUCCCAACCCUUGAUCAAAAAUUCCAAUAGCUGGACCCCAAAUCCCACCCCUCCACCAAAAAUCCCGAUAGGUGAACCCAAAUCCCAAACCUCCACCAAAAAUCCCAAUAGUUGGGCCCAAAUCCCAACCCUCUGAAAGCGAAAUCCCAAUAGUUGAAUCCAAAUCUCAACCCUUGAUCAAAAAUUCCAAUAGCUG